Molecule: ribosomal RNA, 447 nt
Filed under: uncultured bacterium
Lineage: Bacteria
Description: bacterial SSU rRNA
Rfam family: Bacterial small subunit ribosomal RNA
Source: RNAcentral
CUGAACGCUGGCGGCGUGGCUAAGACAUGCAAGUCGCACGGGGUAGCAAUACCCAGUGGCGAACGGGUGAGUAAUGAAUCGCUAAUGUACCCCGGACUCUGGGAUAGCUGCCCGAAAGGGCAGGUAAUACCAGAUGAGACCACGAUCAGGCAUCUGAUUGUGCUCAAAGGUCCGCCGGUCUGGGAGCAGGCGAUUUCGUAUCAGCUUGUUGGUGAGGUAACGGCUCACCAAGGCGACGACGCGUAGCCGGACUGAGAGGUUGGCCGGCCACAUUGGGACUGAGACACUGCCCAGACUCCUACGGGGGGCUGCAGUAACGAAUCUUCCGCAAUGCACGAAAGUGUGACGGAGCGACGCCGCGUGUAGGAGAAGCCCUUCGGGGUGUAAACUACUGUCAGGGGUUAGAAAGUUCUGAUCAACCCCAGAGGAAGGCACGGCUAACUCUGU